UGCCAGACUCCUACGGGAGGCAGCAGUGAGGAAUAUUGGUCAAUGGUCGGGAGACUGAACCAGCCAAGCCGCGUGAGGGAGGAAGGUACAGAGUAUCGUAAACCUCUUUUGUCAGGGGACAAAGACUGGGACGCGUCCCCGGAUGAGUGUACCUGAAGAAAAAGCAUCGGCUAACUCCGUGCCAGCAGCCGCGGUAAUACGGAGGAUGCGAGCGUUAUCCGGAUUUAUUGGGUUUAAAGGGUGCGCAGGCGGCACGGCAAGCCGGCGGUCAAAUCGCGGGGCUCAACCCCGUCGUGCCGUUGAAACUGGCGUUCUUGAGUGAGCGAGAAGUAUGCGGAAUGCGUGGUGUAGCGGUGAAAUGCAUAGAUAUCACGCAGAACUCCGAUUGCGAAGGCAGCAUACCGGCGCUCAACUGACGCUCAUGCACGAAAGCGUGGGUAUCGAACAGGAUUAGAUACCCGAGUAA
This 466-nucleotide ribosomal RNA is filed under the name uncultured bacterium. Its description in RNAcentral is "bacterial SSU rRNA". It matches the Rfam family "Bacterial small subunit ribosomal RNA", at positions 329 to 793 of the family's 1533-position model. The record is from RNAcentral.